AAAUCACUGCAGAUGGUGACUGCAGCCAUGAAAUUAAAAGACGCUUACUCCUUGGAAGGAAAGUUAUGACCAACCUAGAUAACAUAUUGAAAAGCAGAGAUAUUACCUUGCCAACAAAGUCUGUCUAGUCAAGGCUAUGGUUUUUCCAGUGGUCAUGUAUGGCUGUGAGAGUUGGACUGUGAAGAAAGCUGAGUGCUGAAGAAUUGAUGCUUUUGAACUGUGGUGUUGGAGAAGACUCUUGAGAGUCCCUUGGACUGCAAAGAGAUCCAACCAGUCCAUCCUAAAGGAGAUCAGUCCUGGAUGUUCAUUGGAAGGACUGGUGCUGAAGCUGAAACUCCAAUACUUUGGCCACCUUAUGCGAGGAGUUGACUCAUUGGAAAAGACCCUGAUGCUGGGAGGGAUUGGUGCAGGAGAAGGGGACGACAGAGGAUGAGAUGGCUGGAUGGCAUCACUGACUCAAUGGACAUGAGUUUGGGUGGACUCUGGGAGUUGGUGAUGGACAGGGAGGCCUGUCGUGCUGUGAUUCAUGGGGUCGCAAAGAGCUGGACACUACUGAGCCACUGAACUGAAAUGAACUGAACUGAAACAAAGCACUGGCAAAAAGAGAGGGAAAAGGUAGAAGUAGUGACAGAAUUCUUGGGUUCUAAAAUCACUUGCAGACAGUGACUGCAGCAAUGAAAUAUGAAGACAUUUGCUUCUUGGCAGGAAAGCUAUGAGGAAACCUAGACAGAGUGUUGAAAAGCAGAGACAUUGCUGACAAAGGCCCACAUAGUCAAGGGCCUUGAUCUUGAUCAUAGCCUUAGUCAAGUCUAUGGUCUUCCCAGUGGUCACGUACAGUUGUGAGAGCUGGACAAUAAAGAAGGUGCAACACCAAAGAAUUGAUGCUUUCAAACUGUGAUGCUGGAGAAGACUCCUGAGAGUCCCUUGGAUUGCAAGGCAUUCAAACCAGUCAAUCUUAAGGGAAAUCAACCCUGAAUACUCGUUGGAAGGACUGAUGCUGAAGCUGAAAUUCCAGUAUUUUGGUCAUCUGAUGCGGACAGUUGACUCAUUGGAAAAGUCACUGAUGCUGGGAAAGAUUGAUGGCAGAAGGAGAAGAAGCGUCAGAGGACGAGUUGGCUGGAUGGAAUCACCAGUGCAACAGACAUGAGGUUGGGCAAACUUCAGGAGAUGGUGAGGGAUGGAGAGGCCUGUCAUGCUUCAGUCCAUGUGGUCGCAAAGAGUUGGACACGACUGGGUGACUGAACAACAACAACAACAAACAAAGCACUAAUAGUUCGAGAUGAGGCAAUGAAGAAAGGAAGACGACCUCAACGGAGACAGGUUACCUUUAUUCAGGCAAGGAGGGGCGACAGUCGCUCUAAUGACCAGGCUGAGCGUGUGGGAUCAGGGAGGCUUCAUAUUUAAGGGGAUUUUUGUUUUCCCUGAAGUCAGGUGGUCCAGCAUGGGCCUUUGAAGUGGUUAUCUCCUUUUUCCAGGCCUGAGGACUCCUUCAUUCCAGAUCCUGAAAUCAUAAAAAGAUGGGGGGAAAGGGCACCGUAUCUCUCUGGCUACUUCCUGCUGGGUAGGGGUGAUGGCUCUGGGUCUGGAAUGGAGGCCUGUCCUAGGGCCCAAGGUCUCCUUUUCCCGAGGUUGAGGUGAGGCUCUUGAGAAGGAGGAUGGUCUUGACUUGGACUUGAGAGAUGGCCCAAAUCCGGUCUUGGAGAAACCUUUGAAAGAUAUUGAAGAGACAGGGUCCAAAUAAGAGGAAUAAAACAAUAAGUACCAGUGGUCCAGAGAAAGGGAGCAACCAAGGGAGGGCCAGUUUGGAGUAAGCUUUGG
Bos taurus (domestic cattle) is the source of this 1818-nucleotide long non-coding RNA. The record is from Ensembl. Lineage: Eukaryota; Metazoa; Chordata; Mammalia; Artiodactyla; Bovidae.